RNAcentral lists this microRNA (23 nucleotides) under Lotus japonicus. RNAcentral's name for it is "lja-miR11103d-5p". The record is from miRBase by way of RNAcentral. Lineage: Eukaryota; Viridiplantae; Streptophyta; Magnoliopsida; Fabales; Fabaceae.
UUUCUCUAGUGGACAUUUGUGGC